RNAcentral lists this ribosomal RNA (473 nucleotides) under uncultured organism. Its description in RNAcentral is "partial 16S ribosomal RNA". It matches the Rfam family "Bacterial small subunit ribosomal RNA", at positions 334 to 798 of the family's 1533-position model. The record is from RNAcentral.
CACUCCUACGGGAGGCAGCAGUGGGGAAUAUUGCACAAUGGGCGCAAGCCUGAUGCAGCCAUGCCGCGUGUAUGAAGAAGGCCUUCGGGUUGUAAAGUACUUUCAGCGGGGAGGAAGGCGAUAAGGUUAAUAACCUUGUUGAUUGACGUUACCCGCAGAAGAAGCACCGGCUAACUCCGUGCCAGCAGCCGCGGUAAUACGGAGGGUGCAAGCGUUAAUCGGAAUUACUGGGCGUAAAGCGCACGCAGGCGGUCUGUCAAGUCGGAUGUGAAAUCCCCGGGCUCAACCUGGGAACUGCAUUCGAAACUGGCAGGCUAGAGUCUUGUAGAGGGGGGUAGAAUUCCAGGUGUAGCGGUGAAAUGCGUAGAGAUCUGGAGGAAUACCGGUGGCGAAGGCGGCCCCCUGGACAAAGACUGACGCUCAGGUGCGAAAGCGUGGGGAGCAAACAGGAUUAGAAACCCCGGUAGUCCCAU